AGAUCUUUCCCACAACUCCUCAUUGUGAAAUAGGGAGCGCCUUCCUCCUUUUAAAUAUAAACAUACAUCUAAUGUGCCCCUUGUUGCUACAGACAUCUGUUAUAUGUGUAGGAGGCAUUGUCUUGCUCACCAAUUUGUCUUCCCAUCUGUACAUGUUUGCAUAGUGAUCUGACAUUUGCAGUGGCUUCUUAGGGUCAAUAGGAAGCAGGGUCUCUCUUGGUGUCGCACAUUGUGGUUUAAGUGCCCAAAUUGUAUCUGACUUUUCUCUCCAUGCCUUAGAUUUGUUCCGUUCCUUGGCUCAAGCUUGCUAGAUUGGAAAUGAUGGAAAGCUCAGGUUUGUCAAUAUUUCUGGGCAAUAAUUGUGAUUUUAGCGAAGUUACUCUACAAUGCUAUGAAUCAUGAGCACUUCCUCUAGCAAUUGUCAAUAUCCAGGCCACAGACACAAGAUAGUCACUUAUAUUCCAGUAUCUUAUUUAUGCCCACAAAGGUCUUAACUGGAAACAACUACAACAAUGCAUGCAAGGGAAGGUUGCUAUUUUUUUUAGAAAUAAUGACCCAUUUCAAAAGUUUACAGUUUCAAUUAUUUUUCUACAGGUUUAUAUAUGUGUAUUUUCAGCUGCAUUUGAAGCACAUGUAGACCUGGGAAAGCAAACGCCCAGUCUAGAGGUCUCCAUGUUCUGUGUGGAGCCCAUCCUUGAAAACUGGAGUGAAAUACGUGGCCCAUACUUCACCAAUGCCGCGAUGGGUAGCUUAGAGUCUUCAGUCUAUUUUGG
This 773-nucleotide long non-coding RNA is filed under the name Pogona vitticeps (central bearded dragon). Its description in RNAcentral is "lncRNA (ENSPVIG00000019532.1)". Lineage: Eukaryota; Metazoa; Chordata; Lepidosauria; Squamata; Agamidae. The record is from RNAcentral.